CAGACGAGGAGCUUGCUCCUUUGACGUUAGCGGCGGACGGGUGAGUAACACGUGGGUAACCUACCUAUAAGACUGGGAUAACUUCGGGAAACCGGAGCUAAUACCGGAUAAUAUUUCGAACCGCAUGGUUCGAUAGUGAAAGAUGGCUCUGCUAUCACUUAUAGAUGGACCUGCGCCGUAUUAGCUAGUUGGUAAGGUAACGGCUUACCAAGGCAACGAUACGUAGCCGACCUGAGAGGGUGAUCGGCCACACUGGAACUGAGACACGGUCCAGACUCCUACGGGAGGCAGCAGUAGGGAAUCUUCCGCAAUGGGCGAAAGCCUGACGGAGCAACGCCGCGUGAGUGAUGAAGGUCUUCGGAUCGUAAAACUCUGUUAUUAGGGAAGAACAAACGUGUAAGUACUGUGCACGUCUUGACGGU
Molecule: ribosomal RNA, 422 nt
Filed under: Staphylococcus hominis
Lineage: Bacteria; Bacillati; Bacillota; Bacilli; Caryophanales; Staphylococcaceae
Description: bacterial SSU rRNA
Rfam family: Bacterial small subunit ribosomal RNA
Source: RNAcentral